RNAcentral lists this ribosomal RNA (505 nucleotides) under uncultured bacterium. Its description in RNAcentral is "partial 16S ribosomal RNA". It matches the Rfam family "Bacterial small subunit ribosomal RNA", at positions 28 to 507 of the family's 1533-position model. The record is from RNAcentral.
GACGAACGCUGGCGGCGUGCCUAAUACAUGCAAGUAGAACGCACAGUUUAUACCUUUGCUUGCUACACCAUAGACUGUGAGUUGCGAACGGGUGAGUUACGCGUAGGUAACCUGUCUGGUAGCUGGGGAUAACUAUUGGAAACGAUAGCUAAUACCGCAUAAUAUUAAUUAUUGCAUGAUAAUUAAUUGAAAGGUGCAAUUGCACCACUACCAGAUGGACCUGCGUUGUAUUAGCUAGUAGGUGAGGUAACGGCUCACCUAGGCGACGAUACAUAGCCGACAUGCGAGGGUGGUCGGCCACCCUGGGACUGUGACACGCCCCAGAGUCCUACGGGAGGCAGCAGUAGGGAAACUUCGGCCAGGGGCGAAAGUCUGAGCGAGCAACGCCGAGGGAGUAAAGAAGGUUUUCGGGUCGUAAAGCUCGGUUGUCGGGGAAGAACGGGUGUGAGAGUGGAAAGUUCACACUGUGACGGUAUCGUACCAGAAAGGGACGGCUAACUACGUG